AUUGAACGCUGGCGGCAGGCCUAACACAUGCAAGUCGAGCGUGCGGCGGACGGGUGCGUAAUGUCUUGUAAACUGCCUGAUGGAGGGGGAUAACUACUGGAAACGGUAUCUAAUACCGCAUACCAUCAGCUUUGCCCAGAUGGGAUUAGCUAGUGGGUGGGGUAACGGCUCACCUAGGCGACGAUCCCUAGCUGGUCUGCGAGGAUGACCAGCCACACUGGAACUGAGACACGGUCCAGACUCCUACGGGAGGCAGCAGUGGGGAAUAUUGCACAAUGGGCGCAAGCCUGAUGCAGCCAUGCCGCGUGUGUGAAGAAGGCCUUCGGGUUGUAAAGCACUUUCAGCGGGGAGGCGUUACCCGCAGAAGAAGCACCGGCUAACUCCGUGCCAGCCGCCGCGGUAAUAC
This 406-nucleotide ribosomal RNA is filed under the name uncultured bacterium. Its description in RNAcentral is "partial 16S ribosomal RNA". It matches the Rfam family "Bacterial small subunit ribosomal RNA", at positions 30 to 526 of the family's 1533-position model. The record is from RNAcentral.